RNAcentral lists this non-coding RNA (25 nucleotides) under Rattus norvegicus (Norway rat). The record is from RNAcentral. Lineage: Eukaryota; Metazoa; Chordata; Mammalia; Rodentia; Muridae.
GAACAAGAAGACUAUCAAAGGGAGU